UACACUCCUGCGGGAGGCAGCAGUGGGGAAUUUUGGACAAUGGGGGCAACCCUGAUCCAGCAAUGCCGCGGGAGUGAAGAAGGCCUUCGGGUUGUAAAGCUCUUUUGUCAGGGAAGAAACGGUGGUGGCGAAUAACUACUACUAAUGACGGUACCUGAAGAAUAAGCACCGGCUAACUACGUGCCAGCAGCCGCGGUAAUACGUAGGGUGCAAGCGUUAAUCGGAAUUACUGGGCGUAAAGCGUGCGCAGGCGGUUGUGUAAGUCAGAUGUGAAAUCCCCGGGCUCAACCUGGGAAUUGCAUUUGAGACUGCACGGCUAGAGUGUGGCAGAGGGGGGUAGAAUUCCACGUGUAGCAGUGAAAUGCGUAGAUAUGUGGAGGAAUACCGAUGGCGAAGGCAGCCCCCUGGGAUAACACUGACGCUCAUGCACGAAAGCGUGGGGAGCAAACAGGAUUAGAAACCCCAGUAGUCCCAUG
This 476-nucleotide ribosomal RNA is filed under the name uncultured organism. Its description in RNAcentral is "partial 16S ribosomal RNA". It matches the Rfam family "Bacterial small subunit ribosomal RNA", at positions 332 to 799 of the family's 1533-position model. The record is from RNAcentral.